This 74-nucleotide transfer RNA is filed under the name Candidatus Omnitrophota bacterium. RNAcentral's name for it is "tRNA-Gly". It matches the Rfam family "tRNA". From Rfam's summary of the family: Transfer RNA (tRNA) molecules are approximately 80 nucleotides in length. Their secondary structure includes four short double-helical elements and three loops (D, anti-codon, and T loops). The record is from RNAcentral. Lineage: Bacteria; Pseudomonadati; Candidatus Omnitrophota.
GCGAGAGUAGCACAGUGGUAGUGCAGUAGCCUUCCAAGCUACCUACGGCGGUUCGAUCCCGCUCUCCCGCUCCA